Molecule: non-coding RNA, 74 nt
Organism: Conidiobolus coronatus NRRL 28638
Lineage: Eukaryota; Fungi; Entomophthoromycota; Entomophthoromycetes; Entomophthorales; Conidiobolaceae
Source: Rfam
GUUUCCAUGGCACAAUUGGCUAGCGCGUCCAACUGUUAAUGACGAAGUUGGUGGCUCAAGCCCACCUGGGAGCG